Molecule: ribosomal RNA, 446 nt
Filed under: uncultured bacterium
Lineage: Bacteria
Description: SSU rRNA
Rfam family: Bacterial small subunit ribosomal RNA
Source: RNAcentral
AGAGCGAACGCUGGCGGCAGGCUUAACACAUGCAAGUCGAGCGGGCGUAGCAAUACGUCAGCGGCAGACGGGUGAGUAACGCGUGGGAACAUACCUUUUGGUUCGGAACAACACAGGGAAACUUGUGCUAAUACCGGAUAAGCCCUUACGGGGAAAGAUUUAUCGCCGAAAGAUUGGCCCGCGUCUGAUUAGCUAGUUGGUGAGGUAACGGCUCACCAAGGCGACGAUCAGUAGCUGGUCUGAGAGGAUGAUCAGCCACAUUGGGACUGAGACACGGCCCAAACUCCUACGGGAGGCAGCAGUGGGGAAUAUUGGACAAUGGGCGCAAGCCUGAUCCAGCCAUGCCGCGUGAGUGAUGAAGGCCCUAGGUUGUAAAGCUCUUUGUGCGGGAAGAUAAUGACGGUACCGCAAGAAUAACGCCCGGCUAACUUCGUGCCAGCAGCCGC